This 643-nucleotide ribosomal RNA is filed under the name Antarctic fungal sp. GI945. RNAcentral describes it as "eukaryotic LSU rRNA". The stretch from base 208 to 361 matches the Rfam family "5.8S ribosomal RNA". The record is from RNAcentral. Lineage: Eukaryota; Fungi.
GGAAGUAAAAGUCGUAACAAGGUUUCCGUAGGUGAACCUGCGGAAGGAUCAUUAGUGAAUAUAGGACGUCCAACUUAACUUGGAGUCCGAACUCUCACUUUCUAACCCUGUGCAUUUGUUUGGGAUAGUAACUCUCGCAAGAGGGCGAACUCCUAUUCACUUAUAAACACAAAGUCUAUGAAUGUAUUAAAUUUUAUAACAAAAUAAAACUUUCAACAACGGAUCUCUUGGCUCUCGCAUCGAUGAAGAACGCAGCGAAAUGCGAUAAGUAAUGUGAAUUGCAGAAUUCAGUGAAUCAUCGAAUCUUUGAACGCACCUUGCGCUCCAUGGUAUUCCGUGGAGCAUGCCUGUUUGAGUGUCAUGAAUACUUCAACCCUCCUCUUUCUUAAUGAUUGAAGAGGUGUUUGGUUUCUGAGCGCUGCUGGCCUUUAGGGUCUAGCUCGUUCGUAAUGCAUUAGCAUCCGCAAUCGAACUUCGGAUUGACUUGGCGUAAUAGACUAUUCGCUGAGGAAUUCUAGUCUUCGGACUAGAGCCGGGUUGGGUUAAAGGAAGCUUCUAAUCAGAAUGUCUACAUUUUAAGAUUAGAUCUCAAAUCACGGUAGGACUACCCGCUGCAACUUACACGCAUAUCAAUAAGCGGAGG